Molecule: ribosomal RNA, 494 nt
Filed under: uncultured bacterium
Lineage: Bacteria
Description: bacterial SSU rRNA
Rfam family: Bacterial small subunit ribosomal RNA
Source: RNAcentral
GAUGAACGCUAGCGGCAGGCUUAAUACAUGCAAGUCGUGGGGCAGCGCAGGUAGCAAUACUGGGCGGCGACCGGCAAACGGGUGCGGAACACGUACACAACCUUCCGAGAAGUGGGGAAUAGCCCAGAGAAAUUUGGAUUAAUACCCGUAACAUAACGAUGUGGCAUCACAUUGUUAUUAUAGCUUCGGCGCUUCUUGAUGGGUGUGCGGCUGAUUAGAUAGUUGGCGGGGUAACGGCCCACCAAGUCUACGAUCAGUAGCUGAUGUGAGAGCAUGAUCAGCCACACGGGCACUGAGACACGGGCCCGACUCCUACGGGAGGCAGCAGUAAGGAAUAUUGGUCAAUGGACGCAAGUCUGAACCAGCCAUGCCGCGUGAAGGAUUAAGGUCCUCUGGAUUGUAAACUUCUUUUAUCUGGGACGAAAAAAAGGCGAUUCUUCAUCACUUGACGGUACCAGAUGAAUAAGCACCGGCUAACUCCGUGCCAGCAGCCG